AUACAAUACCCAUACAACAAUACAACAUACGUACAGCAAGACCAAAUACCAGAACUACCCCUGCUUCAUUCUUGGUCUUCUUCGCGAGCCCAGAUAUGCAGAACCCAGAACUCCAAGGAAAAUCGCGAGCAACAGCCCAGCGAUUCCAGCAGCCCAGACGCGAGCCCAUCAGCUCAUUCUCCUGGCAUCGCAGCGUGUCCCUCUCCGUAUGCGAAGCUUCGGGAAUAAUCCAGGUGGAGCAAUCUUGCAUCUCCUUCUUCCUUUGCUGAAAUCGAACGGAUGUCAUUCCAAAUCCGUUGAAAUUGGUACUUUGCCAACCGUUUGAGCCUUAUCUCUUAGAAAGGUUUGAAUUUCGAAUUUGAAAAAUUCAUCCAAAUUUCACCCGAAUUCCCCCCAAAAAUCGUGCCCUAAUUCCUCCUAUUUAACCCGCCCCCUCCCUCUUCUUCUUUGUGGGAGGUUGGAGAAAAAUUUGGAAAAAAAAAAGGUAGGAUAAAAAAUUGGAAAAAAAAAGGUUGGAGAAAAAUAGCUCGAGCCACAAAUUACAUAAAGUUCCAAUAGGAACAAAAAGUAAAACUAAGGGUGCUUUCGCAGAUCGAUUCCAAAAGAAUUUUGAAGCUCUUUUAGUUUUGGUUUCUGUUCUAUUCAGUAUCCUCCGGAGUUCGUUGGAAUCCCAUGUCAAUGGUGAAAGGUUGGUGAGAAGUCCAGCUCAUUCGUCCCGUUCGCUGCCCGAAAGAAGUUAUAAAAAUGGUGGUCUGUUACAGUUGUGUCGGAAAUCGGAAUCAUGCCUUUCCUCUGUUUAUUUCUUUUUUAAGGCUAAAUUCAUGUACCAUUCAAUUGAUUUAAUCAAAUGAAUGUUUCAAAUGAUAUUUACUUCUACAAUUUAUUUAUUUUCUUUUCGUAUAUGAUGAUGCUUUAGUCAUUAAAUUGAUAUAGUUUACUGUUGCUUUCACUACACUUUCUCAGGCAAUAUUAAUCUCUUUUAAGUCAAGAUUGUUUCUUUAUUUAAAUGGCAUUAACUGAUGCAAAGUGUGUUGCAUUUUCUUCAUUGUCUUAGCUCAAAUGUUAGAAUAAUUUUGCUAGUUUUUUAAUGUAGCCUCUUCUCCCAGUCAGAUGGUAUAUGAUCUAAUUCCAUUUCCUUAUUUUGUUUGGGUACAACCCGCUGGCCGAGUCUUUUAGGCUCUUACUGUUCUCCUAGCCUCUCUCAUUUUUAUAUAUUUCGUGUUAAUUUUAUUGUUAGUACAUGCUUAUUUGCUAAUUAAUUUUAAGGUUCUUAA
Molecule: long non-coding RNA, 1274 nt
Organism: Solanum tuberosum (potato)
Lineage: Eukaryota; Viridiplantae; Streptophyta; Magnoliopsida; Solanales; Solanaceae
Exons: 2
Source: RefSeq, a predicted model, not a curated record